RNAcentral lists this ribosomal RNA (507 nucleotides) under uncultured marine eukaryote. RNAcentral's name for it is "SSU rRNA". It matches the Rfam family "Eukaryotic small subunit ribosomal RNA", at positions 616 to 1129 of the family's 1831-position model. The record is from RNAcentral.
CGGUUAAAAAGCUCGUAGUUGGAUUUCUGUCGGUGAGUGGCGGUCCGCCCCCUGUGGUGAGCACUCGUCAGGCACCGACAUCUUCCUGGGGAUUGCGCUGCACUUCACUGUGUGGUGUACUAUCCAGGGCGUUUACUUUGAGGAAAUGAGAGUGUUUCAAGCAAGCAUCUGCCAUGAAUACGUUAGCAUGGAAUAAUAGCAUCGGACCUCGAUCUGAAGCUGUUGGUGUUUUGGGUCGGGGUAAAGGUGAAUAGAGAUUGUUGGGGGCAUUCGUAUUUAACUGUCAGAGGUGAAAUUCUUGGAUUUGUUGAAGACGGACUACUGCGAAAGCAUCUGCCAAAGAUGUUCUCAUUGAUCAAGAACGAAAGUUAGGUGAUCGAAGACGAUCAGAUACCGUCCUAGUCUUAACCAUAAACUAUGCCACCUGGAGAUAGGGGGUCGUUAUUUGUUGACACCUUCUGCAUCCUGAGAGAAAUCAAAGUCUUUGGGUUCCGGGGGGAGUAUGGU